AAUCUCAUAGUUUUUUUUCAUAUUAAUUUCAUAGUUACUCAUCAUAUCAUAUCAUAUCACAUGAAACGCGUUCACAUAAUUACUACAGUAAUUUUACCAAUAAAUGCAUUCAUAUCAAAAUUUCUUUAUCUAAUGCUGAGUCAACUAAUAAAAGCUGGAAUUUCCUCCUAUUUCAUCCUUAAUUUCCUCGUGUUUCUUUCCGUACUAUGAGAUUGGGAAGAAAUUGCUUUACUAAACGGAAAUUGUACACCCCAGGCCUAAGUGAAUAUGCAAAAGGAAUGUCAUAUAUAUUUCAACCAAAAAUAUUUCAACCAUUAAGUGGAAGAAUACAUUCAUCACCCUCUAGAAUACUAGCAGCAGAAAUGCCAAGAACACAUGGAAGCCAUAUAUGCUUCAACCAAAAAUAAUGUGUGAAAAAAAAAGAAAAAGAAAUUCAGCACUUACUUUGGCGAGAAUGAAUUAAUACUCUGGGAACAGGUGAUCUGUUGAAUCUGCAGAAAUUUCAUUUAUGUGGUGAAGCUACGUUUAAAAAAAAACAUUAAAUUAAAAAAAUACAGAAUUCAGCACAUACUUGAGAGAAAAUGAAACUUCUGGCAGUAGCUACUUGCACCAGUGAUCUUGUGAGUAUGAUGAAGCCAGUGAUCUUGUGAAUAUGCUGCACUUACUCCUUCAAAAGUUUAAGGUCAAAAAAGGGGAACAUCCGGAGGAAGGUGAUGAUUUCAAUGAAAAUACAAAGGCUCCGUUUGGAUAUGCUGUUUUUGGGGGUAUUUUACAAAAAUAGCACUAUUCAUUUAUUGGAAAACAAUCAAUGUUGUUUGAAUUAGUUGUUUUUUAAAAACAGAGUGUUUUUGAAAAACAAGUGUGUAUGGAUUCACUCAGUUACGAAGCCAGGAAUUUUUUUUGGAGGGCCAAAAUUUUUUCCUCAUAAAUUAUCUUAAUAUAUUAUGUUCAAAAUAAUUUUCUUCUAUUUAAAUAUAUGACAUCUAAAAAUAUCAAAUAUUAAAUUUAAUUAUAAAGAUACGUCUAUUCAUAAAUAUGCGGUACAGUCAUAACAAAAAUUAACAAAAAAGAUAACCUUUGAUUAAAUAUCUUAUAACAUCACAAACCAUUCAAUUUGCAUAUUAUGAGAAGAUGCUCCAAUAUGUCACCUAUAACCAUGUAAUAUAAAUGUAACUAUUUUCAAUUGAAAAAAAGAUAAAAGUUAUGUUAAGAUACUUUGAAAUUUCAACAUCUUUUCUUAGAAGUAAAUUGAGCUCUACGCUCUUUCAUAGAACUAAAUUCAUCUAUGAUUGAAUCACUGCUAAAUUUUUUAGUAACUUCUUUUUCUAUAUACACAGUUAGACAAUCAUUCAAGAAAUUAUCUUCCAUCUCGUUUUGGAGCUUUGCCUUGAUUAUUUUCAUAAUUGAAAAUGCCCACUCUGUAAUUACAGUUGAUACAGGAAGAGUAAAAACAAGUCUAAUCAAUCUAUCAAUAAGAGAAUAUAUCACUGAUUUUCUUGUGUUCACCAAGUCUUGACAUAACUCAUGAAUACCAAAUAAUUCUUGCAAUUCAGGAUAAUUUGGAAUGUCGAGUUCAAAAUGUUGAAGUUCUAUUCUUAGAUGCACAGUUCUCCAUAAAAUCAUUCGGAUAGAACUUCUUUGCAAGUUUACAAAUAUCAUCAAUCUUGAACAGCAUAAAUCCAUUUCUAGGAUCUAAAACAGUGUUCAAAACAAGCAAUUCCACGGUAUGAUCAUUAAACUUGCUAUGUAACUCUUGCAAUUGAUAAUCAAUUGUUGCAAGAAAUAUAUCCAUUCGAUAAUAAUGCUCCACAUUAAUCUCAUCAUGAUAACUUCGAGAUCUAUCACGUCUUGCAAUAUAUUGAGCAUUCAUACAUGGGAUAUCAAUUUGAUGUUGCUCAAAAAAUAAUUUAACUUUCACCAAGAAAUCAUUCCAUCCCGAAUCUCGAAAAUUCUUCAGUAGCUUUGUUGUGCUUGAAACAAGAUACAUUGCAUUCAAAAUAUCUUGAGAUUUACGUUACAAUGCUAUACAAAAAAGAUGAGUAAUUUCCACAAUGUCUUUCAUAAGAUGCAAAGUGAAAACAAACUUAAAACAUAACAACUAAUUCAAAACAAAAUUUGCAUCUCCACGUUGAGAGUAUGAACCUCCAUCUACUGCAAUGUUACUUAAAACCACACAAGUAGGAUUGAACAUUUUCAGUAAACUAUAAAUAGAAUCCAAAUGAGAACCCCAACGAGUAUCUUCAACUCAUUUUAAAGUGCCAAUUUGAUUAAGCUCCCUUCCAAUUUCAAGUUCACCAUUAGCAAUCUUAGUAGCAACUUCAAUUGCUUGAGCCUCCUUUAAUUCAUCAUUAUCAUUACAUUUGCUAGAUGUAGUAACAAUGUUGAUAAUGAAAACUAAAUUGGAGAAUAAUUGGUGAACAGAAACAACUUCUCUAGAAACUGCAAUUAAAGCAAAUUGAAGCCUAUGAGCCAAACAAUGAAUGUAACAGGCAUAUGGACAUUCAUGGCAAAUUAAAGCUUGCAAGCCGUUCCAUUCAAAAAUGACUAAUUCAUAUAUAUCUAUAUAUAUAUAUCAACUCUCAUAAUAUAAACUAAAAUUGUAAAAAUUUAGGGGGGGCCAAUUUUAUUUUACACACAUAUUUACAUAUUAUGAAUUAAAAUUCUCAAAAUUUAGGGGGGACCAUGGCCCCCUUCUGCCCCCUUGGCUCCAUCAUCGGAUUCACUAUUUUUGAAAAAUAAUAUUUAAUUUUUUUCCCUCUGUGUUUGAAAUACUGAAUGCCAUUUGCACUUAAACAAUUAUCAAUUUUUUAAUACAUAGAUGAGACAUAAGUGUACAAUUUAUUGGGCGUACUAUCUGAACAAAUAAUGACAGAAGAUGUUCUACUGGUGUUGAUGAUAGUACAUCAUAUCAGCUAUUGCUCUCCUACUUUCAUUCCAUUCAGCAAUUCCUACAGCCGGCAUAUCUGGAGCUUGUGCUGCGGGCAUUGGGUUGAAGGGAUUUAUGUUAUCUGCCAAUGCUAUAUCUGCUUCUUCUUCAACAAAAUAUGCGUCAUUUGGAACAUACUCGGGUAUGAAGUUGUGCAAGGCACAACAAGCUAGGACAAUAUUAUUUUGAGUAGCCAUCAUUUACUUCUGCAUAGGGCCCUUAAGUAUUGGAAACCGCUUCUUCAAGACACCAAACGUGUGUUCUAUAAUGUUUCUUAAAGAUGCAUGCCGUUUGUUGAAGAGUGUCCUCACUGCCCGCUCUUGCACGGUUCUCCGUGCAUCUUUAAAUGGAACCAUGAGUCCUGUGAUAUUCUAAUAAGCCGCGUCCACCGCGUAAUACUUCCCUGGCAUAAUGAAAUUAUAUUUAAAACUCAUUGAAGACGCAAUGAGAAAAGGAAUUAUGUAAUUUAAUUUGGACUAACCUGCUGGUGGCCACGAAAAGGCACAAUUAGGAUCUUGUAUGACUUCUUGUAAGAUUCUAGAAUCAUGUGCGCUACCCUUCCACCCUACCCUGACAUAAGUGAAUCUCAUGUUGUGAUCACAUACGGUUAGAACAUUUUAUGAUAAGCUACCAUGCCUGUUCCGGUAACGUUCCCUGUCUUCGGUUGUACACCAGGCCGAAACACGUGUUCCGUCAAUCGCUCCAACGCAAUCCUAAUAAAAAAAAAUCUUUCCAUAAGUUGAUCACAGCUGUUAGGCAUAAUGAAAUAGUAAUUUCACAGAGUAGCCCAUAAUCUUAAACCAGGGCCAGAACAAAGCACUAUUCUGUAUUCUUGGAUGGGUUAUGUGAUAAUCCACCGGUCGGACCAGGUCGCGUCCCAAUCGAAUGAGAGAUCUAAGGCAGCGUCGUAGAUGGCGGUCCGUUGUCUCGGGAGAAUGUUGGAAUCUCUCGGCAAGCGCCCUAUGUCGCUCAUUAUGAUUCAAACAUAGCAGGCAUAUAACAACGGACUCAUGAAUUCCCACCCGUUGUGUCGGGUGGGCCACCCAAUAGUCCCUCUGAACCAACAAGUCACACAAUUGGAGGAAAAGGGGAGCUUCCAAUCGAAGGUUGUCGAAUAUUCUGUCUCGAUGGCCGUUUAUCAGCUCUAUAAUAUAUUGAGCACCCGACUGUGCACCAUCUCGAAUUCUUCACCGCUGCCCUGAGUUGAUGUACGGGUCGACUAAGACCAAUCCAACAAGGAUAAAGGCAGCGAAGGCCAACAUGAGCUCCUCGUCAUCCGAAUCAUCAGAUGAGUUCCCACCAUUCACAUAACCAUCAUACUCCAUUUCAUGUAAUCUGUGCAACUGCGUCGGGCGUGAAUCUGAAAAAAAAAAGGAGGCCGUGAUAUCAUUCAAGACCACUCUUAAUUUGCCUACAUUGAGCAGAAAAUAAAAAACUCAACAUGUACAUUGAUCAAAAUUAGGCAAAAAUCUAUUACAUGCGAUUUUCGGUAAGACAAGAGGAUAACUUCUUGAAAUAAGUCGAGGCUAUCCGCCAACCAAUUUAUAGCCAACAAGUUGAGGGAUCAAGCAGAAGUUUUGCAUCUUACAUAAGAAAAAGAAUCUUACAUCUUCUUCAAGUAAGUCACGUAUUCUUGAAAAGAAUUGUUGAAGUAAGUCAUAUUCUUGAAAAGAAUUGUUGAAGUAAGUCAUAUUCCCUACCUAAAAGUUGCUCUAAAAAUGACCAUCAUACCUAAAAGUUGCUAUUUUCCUUCCAAAAGUUGCUUUUUUCUUGUCCCUUACUUCAAUUACCUUACAUCUUCUUCAAGUAAGUCAUGAAUUCUUAAAAGAUUUGUUGAAGUAAGUCAAUUUCUUAAAAUAAGUCUUAUUCUUUAUUCGAAACUUUAGACUAAGUAAGGAACGUUGUCCCUUACUUGAAUUACCUCAUAUAAUUCUUGAAGUAAGUCACAUAAUUGAAAAGAGUUGUUGAAAUUGGACAUAUUCUUGAAAUAAGUCCUUAUUCUUUACUAUAAACUGUAGGCCAAGUAAGGAACGUUGUCCGUUACAUCUUCCUUACUAUCCAACUCUUGAAAUUUUUCUGAACAAAUAAAAUUAGGAAUCGUACGUACUGUUAAAAUAAUAGUGCGUUACCUAACAGAGAAAAAACUAACUAAUCUGGACUCAAGCAGAAUGUUGUUGAAGUAACGGAUAAACUUUCUUGAAGGCAAUUAUUUGCAUAUUCAAAAAGUAUCAUAUUCUUGAACCUGUUGCUAAAGUAAUACAUUCUUGAAAGUAAGGUUUAGGCCAAGUAAGGAAAAAACUCCCUUACGUAUUCCUGACAUUCCAACAGCCUGCAUGGGUCAAACUAUCACUCUUAAUAAGUAGUCAUAUCAGACAUAGUAAUAGCCAAACCAGUACAUUUCCUGAAACGACUACGUCGUUGGACUGCACUUUUUUUUUCAGGAAAUGUACUGGUUUGGCUAUUGUUAUGUCUGAUAUGACUAUUUAUUAAGAGUGAUAGUUUCACCCAUGCAGGUUGUUGGAAUGUCAGGAAUACGUAAGGGAGUUUUUUCCUUACUUGGCCUAAACCUUACUUUCAAGAAUGUAUUACUUCAACAACAAGUUCAAAAAUAUGAUACUUUUUGAAUAUAUAAAUAAUUGCCUUCAAGAAAGUUUAUCCGUUACUUCAACAACAUUCUGCUUGAGUCCAAAUUAAUUAGUUUUUUCUCUGUUAGGUAGCGCACUAUUAUUUCAACAGUACGUACGAUUCUUAAUUUUACUUAUUCAGAAAAAUUUCAAAAGUUGGAUAGUAAGGAAGAUGUAACGGACAACGUUCCUUACUUGGCCUACAAUUUAUAGUAAAAAAUAAGGACUUAUUUCAAGAAUAUGUCUAAUUUCAACAAUUCUUUUCAAUUGUGUGACUUACUUCAAGAAUUAUAUGAGGUAAUUCAAGUAAGGGACAACGUUCCUUACUUGGCCUAAAGUUUCGAAUAAAGAAUAAGACUUAUUUUAAGAAAUUGACUUACUUCAACAAAUCUUUUAAGAAUUCAUGACUUACUUGAAGAAGAUGUAAGGUAAUUGAAGUAAGGGACAAGAAAAGAGCAACUUUUGGAAGGAAAAUAGCAACUUUUAGGUAUGAUGGUCAUUUUUAGAUCAACUUUUAGGUAUGGAAUAUGACUUACUUCAACAACUCUUUUCAAAAAUAUGACUUACUUCAAUAAUUCUUUUCAAGAAUACGUGACUUACUUGAAGAAGAUGUAAGAUUCUUUUUCUUAUGUAAGAUGCAAAACUUCUGCUUGAUCCCUCAACUUGUUGGCUAUAAAUUGGUUGGCGGAUAGCCUCAACUUAUUUCAAGAAGUUAUCCUCUUGUCUUACCGAAAAUCGCAUGUAAUAGAUUUUUGCCUAAUUUUGGUCCAUGUACAUGUUGAGUUUUAUAUUUCCUGCUCAAUGUAGGCAAAUUAAGAUUGGUCUUGAAUGAUACCACGGCCUCCUUUUUUUUUUCAGAUUCACGCCCGACGCAGUUGUACAGAUUACACGAAAUGGAGUAUGACGGUUAUGUGAAUGGUGGGGACUCGUCUGAUGAUUCGGACGACGAGGAACUCAUGUUGGCCUUCGCUGCCUUUAUCCUUGCUGGAUUGACCUUAUUCGACCCGUACAUCAACUCAGGGCAGCGGCGAAGAAUUCGAGAUGGUGCACUGUCGGGUGCUCAAUAUGUUAUAGAGCUGAUAAACGGCUAUCGAGACAGAAUAUUCGACAACCUUCGAAUGGAAGCUCCCCUUUCCUCCAAUUCUGUGACUUGUUGGUUCAGAGAGGCUAUUGGGUGGCCCACCCGACACAACGGGUGGGAAUUCAUGAGUCCGUUGCUAUAUGCCUGCUGUGUUUGAAUCAUAAUGAGCGACAUAGGGCGCUUGCCGAGAGAUUCCAACAUUCUCCCGAGACAACGGACCGCCAUCUACGACGCUGCCUUAGAUCUCUCAUUCGAUUGGGACACGACCUGGUCCGAUAGGUGGAUUAUCACAUAACCCAUCCAAGAAUAUAGAAUAGUGCUUUGUUCUGGCCCUGAUUUAAGAUUAUGAGCUACUCUGUGAAAUUACUAUUUCAUUAUGCCUAACAGCUGUGACCAACUUAUGGGAAGAUUUUUUUUUUAUUAGGAUUGCGUUGGAGCGAUUGACGGAACACGCGUUUCGGCCUGGUGUACAGCCGAAGACAGGGAACGUUACCGGAACAGGCAUGGUAGCUUAUUACAAAACGUUCUAGCCGUGUGUGAUCACAACAUGAGAUUCACUUAUGUCAGGGUAGGGUGGAAAGGUAGCGCACACGAUUCUAGAAUCUUACAAGAAGUCAUACAAGAUCCUAAUUGUGCCUUUCCGUGGCCACCAGCAGGUUAGUCCAAAUUAAAUCACAUAAUUCAUUUUCUCAUUGCGUCUUCAAUGAGUUUUAAAUAUAAUUUCAUUAUGUCAGGAAAGUAUUACGCAGUGGACGCGGCUUACCAGAAUAUCACAGGACUCAUGGCUCCAUUUAAAUAUGCACGGGGAACCGUGCAAGAGCGGACAGUGAGGACACUCUUCAACAAACGGCAUGCAUCGUUAAUAAACAUUAUAGAACACACGUUUGGCGUCUUGAAGAAGCGGUUUCCAAUACUUAAGGGUCUCAUGCAGAAGUAUAUGAUGACUACUCAAAAUAAUAUUGUCCUGGCUUGUUGUGCCUUACAUAACUUCAUGCGCGAGUAUGUUCCAAAUGACGCAUAUUUUGUUGAAGAAGAAACAGAUAUAGCAUUGGCAGAAAACAUAAACCCCUUCAACCCAAUGCCCGCAGCACAAGCUCCAGAUAUGUUGACUGCAGGAAUUGUUGAAUGGAAUUAAAGUAGGAGAGGAAUAGCCGAUAUGAUGUACUAUCAUCAACACCAGUAGAACAUCUCCUGCCAUUAUUUGUUCAGAUAGUACGCCCAAUAAAUUGUACACUUAUGUCUCAUCUAUGUAUUAAAAAAUUGAUAAUUGUUUAAGUGCAAAUGGCAUUCAGUAUUUCAAACACAGAGGAAAAAAAAAUUAAAUGUUGUUUUUCAAAAACAGUGAAUCCAUACAUGCUUGUUUUUCAAAAACACUCUGUUUUUGAAAAACAACUAAUCCAAACAACAUUGAUUGUUUUCCAAAAAAUGAAUAGUGCUGUUAUUGUAAAAUACCCCUAAAAACAGCAUAUCCAAAUGGAGCCUUGGUUGUUUUUGAAAGACAAAAACAGUUUUUGCAAAAAUUGACAAUCCAAACAGAGUCUUAGUUAUUGUAGUUAUAACAAUUAUUUUUUGUUCAUGCUUUCCUCAAAUGCCCCUUAUUAAUAUUAGAUCAUUCGUUCAAAGUAAAAGGCAUGUAUUACUAUAUUGUUUUUUGAAUUUAGAGCACUUUAGUUUCUUAAUGCAAGAGUCAAUCUAAUUCAUGUUACAUGUUUAACUAAAAUGAAUAACAAAAAUAAAAUUGACAAACAAUCAAACAUUUUAAUUUGGAGCCAUUAGAAGGCAACAAAUAUAUUAUAAAAUCUAUAAUAAUAAUGUACAUUAAAUAUGGGUGUGUUAGUAAAAUAACUAACUAACUACUCUUUAAAAAAAUAAAUAGGCUUAUAAUUUGGGAUGGGCACAAAGGAAAGUGAGCCUAUUUUUAUGGGAUAGAGAGAGUAUUAAAUACUGAGUCUCUAUUCCAAAAAAAUAGCAAGCUUUUCUCCUUCUCUUUUACUAUUUUUUUUCCUUCAACUGCUUUAACAACUUAUCUAUUGCCUAGUUUUUCUUGGAAUUCGAACUUUGACUUCCUCAAUAAAAUUCCGCCUUGAUCUCCAAAUAUAAUUGCUUAAAUGUUGGAGAAAUAUUUAUGAUCUCUCUUGAAAUUUAUCGUCUCUUUUAUCAAUUGAAUUAGUUUAUGCUUCUUUCCUUUUGCCUAUGUGUAAAGGCACAUAAGUUUUUGUUCUUUUUCUUUCACUUCUUUGUUGAAUUUUGUUUCAUUUUUUUAUAGUAGAAAUGAAAAGAUUCUCGAAAUAAAGUCAGAAGGGACAAACAGAGCCAACGUAAAGCAAUUUGCAUGUAGCACGAGAUAAUUCUUGGUUUUUGAAUAAAUGCCUACUUUGGUUGUUGCAUUUUAUAUUAAUGAAUUAAGGAAAAAUUGUUCAAAACACCCCUUACAUUUUGUUCAAUGAAUUUUUUUGUCUUUUACUUUUAAAAUGUUAUUUUUACAUCUUUACAAAUUUAAAUUAGCAAAAUUUAGUUCCCGUGGCGACUUUUGAUUGCGGCCUUAGGAGGGGUCUAGGGGGCGAAGGAAGGGAGGGGAUGAGGAAGGAGGGUGAGAAGGAAGGAGAAAAAGAAGGAGAGGGAGGAGGAGGGAGUAAAGAGGAAGAGAAAGGAGGCAAAGGAGAAAGGAGGCAAAGGAGAAAGGAAGCGGAGAGAGAAGGGAGGAGGAGGUAACGGGUGGUGGCGAUGGGUGAUGGUAGUGGUGGUGGGUGGUGUAAACUUUUAAAAAAUACCAAAAAAAUUGUAAAUUCUAAAAAUAUUCCAAAAUACUUUAAAAAAACCUCCUAAAAAUAUCUCUAAAAACACCCUAAAAAACAUUUACACUAAAGUUUUAUAUAUAUACAGGUACAGAAAAAAAUAUUUGAAAAACACCCACAAAAAUAACUAAUUCAAAUAGAACCUUUCUUUUUUUGAAACAAAUUCCUGAAUCGUUAGUUAGCUAAAAAGAGAUAAAGGAAAAAAUGUUAGUUGCAUGCAGAGCGUUGUAAACACUGAGGGAGUUUUCGUUUUCUCCCAAUUCCAAGUGUUUGGAGUGCAAAUUGGCCUCUGGAUUUAGAGUUGAAUUACAAUUGUAUAUGGCCCAGUUUAAACUAUUUUUCUUGAGACCUUGAAAAAUUAGAUAGUUUUCAUAGUUACUCAUCAUACGAUAUCACACGAAAUGCGUUCACAUAAUUUCUGCAGUAAUUUAAGAAUACAUGUAUUCAUAUAUAAAAAAUUGAUUUAUCUAAUGCUAAGUCAAAUAAAAAAGCUGAACUAUCCUCUUAUUUCAUCCUUAAUUUCCUAGUGUUUCUUUCCAUCAUUUGAUGUUGGGAGGAAAUUGCUUUAUUGAACUGAAACUGUACGUCCCAGCUGGCUUAAGUGAAUAUGCAAAAGAAAUGUCAACCAAAAAUAUUUCAACCAUUAAGUGGAAGAACACAUUGAUCACUCUCUGGGAACCAUAUAUAUUUCAACCAAACAUAAUGUGUGAACAAAAAAGAAAAAGAAAUUCAUUAUAUUUUAAAAUUUCUUGUCUUAAUUGCCAAGAAAUAGUACAGAAAAUUGUCCUAAAGAAAUCAUUAGCACAUUGGUAUAAAGUUAUACAGUUUUGGUUUGAAUUUUAUACAAAUUUCAUUAUAUACGUUUACAAAUUCAAGUUUACACCCAUUUUAAACGACUUUACACCAAAAGAGGUAAGAACUGCAAGAAUCAGAUUGAACUAGACAACUUCCAACUGUGAGACCCCUGAUCCUAUUGUUACAUAUAUAAGUAUGGUUUGGCCAAUCAGUGCACAUUGAAUGCUCACUAAGAGGUUUGCAAAUCUCAUAUGUUAAUUUUUUAAAGAAAAAGUAUAGUUAAUUUGAAAAAGUAUAUAAAAUACAGGAGGUACAAUAAUUGUGAUUGCGUGUAUUCACAUGGAAAGUCAGGUAUAAUUUUUGCACGUUAACAAGUAUCCAUGCCUGUUAGGACAAAAAUCCCUAUAUGUAGACCCAAUUCAAACGAUGAAUACAUUCUCUUAGCAAAUUUCUAAUACAAAAAUUUGCAACAUCUAAUUGUAAUUCAAAGUAAUUCGUGUCGUUUCAAUUGCAGAAUUUCUGCUUUUAAUGAAUACCAAUUUGUACGAAAAGGUAGUAAAUUUAUUUAGAGAAAAAAUAUUGCAUCAUUAACUAUUAGCCUCUAACUGAGAAGGAGCAGAAAAAAAAAAAAAAAAAGGUUUAGAAGCUUUUUACAGUUAUACAUUAUUCACGCGGUCUGAUUAAAUAUUUUUUUGCAUCUAUACUGAUUUAUUCCAGACCAAGACCAAAAUUAGCAGAGUUAGAUCAUCUUUUCAGACUCCAAAAUGAAUCAACUCAACCGAUGAUUCCUUCAACAUACAGAAUAUAUAAACAGCAGAGAAAACAGAAUAAUUUAUCAACUUAUUUCCUUUUUCUUUUUUGAUUUCCUUGAAUUUAAAAAUACCUGUUGUUGAUGAGCCCCGUAAUCAGCUCUGUUUGAAGAAAUUAGUUGCAGAAGCUCCGGCAACCGGCAGGAACCAGCUUCGCCACUACCCCAACAAACCGGUUCGUGGGAUUUCUUUGAAAAAAUAUACUACUAUUGAAUGUCUGAGACGAGAUAGUUCACAGUAGCAGGCCUUC
This 11280-nucleotide long non-coding RNA is filed under the name Coffea arabica (coffee). RNAcentral's name for it is "long non-coding RNA (CARA_LNC005149)". Lineage: Eukaryota; Viridiplantae; Streptophyta; Magnoliopsida; Gentianales; Rubiaceae. The record is from RNAcentral.